CUUUUAUGGAGAGUUUGAUCCUGGCUCAGGACGAACGCUGGCGGCGUGCCUAAUACAUGCAAG
RNAcentral lists this ribosomal RNA (63 nucleotides) under Anaerobacillus arseniciselenatis. RNAcentral describes it as "partial 16S ribosomal RNA". It matches the Rfam family "Bacterial small subunit ribosomal RNA", at positions 1 to 61 of the family's 1533-position model. The record is from RNAcentral. Lineage: Bacteria; Bacillati; Bacillota; Bacilli; Caryophanales; Bacillaceae.